Molecule: ribosomal RNA, 189 nt
Filed under: Escherichia coli
Lineage: Bacteria; Pseudomonadati; Pseudomonadota; Gammaproteobacteria; Enterobacterales; Enterobacteriaceae
Description: partial 23S ribosomal RNA
Rfam family: Bacterial large subunit ribosomal RNA
Source: RNAcentral
GGUUAAGCGACUAAGCGUACACGGUGGAUGCCUUGGCAGUCAGAGGCGAUGAAGGACGUGCUAAUCUGCGAUAAGCGUCGGUAAGGUGAUAUGAACCGUUAUAACCGGCGAUUUCCGAAUGGGGAAACCCAGUGUGUUUCGACACACUAUCAUUAACUGAAUCCAUAGGUUAAUGAGGCGAACCGGGGG